GCAGUGGUUUUCAACCGCGGAUGAGUGUUU
RNAcentral lists this non-coding RNA (30 nucleotides) under Mus musculus (house mouse). Lineage: Eukaryota; Metazoa; Chordata; Mammalia; Rodentia; Muridae. The record is from RNAcentral.